Long non-coding RNA from Apis dorsata (giant honeybee), 915 nucleotides. RefSeq lists it as uncharacterized. The record is from RefSeq and is a predicted model, not a curated record. Lineage: Eukaryota; Metazoa; Arthropoda; Insecta; Hymenoptera; Apidae. The transcript has a single exon.
UAGAGAACCACCUUGGACACCAAGUGUGGCGUCCUUCACCGGUACCCUGUCUCACAAUUCUCAUGGACCUGCUCAUCUGGCAACUUUCCAAGAUUCUCGCAAAACACAGACUCUAGAUCCAAAAAAUCUAGCGAAUCUUAAAAGAGGUCCAACUCCUGCUUGGAAUCAGAAUCGUCCAUUACCACCAAAUCCUAGCAGUCAACCAACAUGGGAAUUUGAGUCUCGUUCGCAGACUAAUAUGAAUCAAUUUCGAUCCCUGGUACGAAAUAAGACACCAAACAUUCGGAUUCAAGACCAAGUGCAAGAUCAAGUACGAACGCUGGAUAGAAAUUUCACCAGGAAUCAAUUCAAUGGUACUACACAAAAUAAUGCCGUACCAAAUAUGUAUGGAACGUAUAAUCGAGCACAAUCGAGACAAGAAAACAAAUCAACGGUGGCGACGUUGAGUCAAGUACAGGGUAGCGAUCCCAAUUUGUAUGCUGUGACGGAAUUGUAAAAUCAAACGGUGUACCAAACACAUGCAAACUGCCAUUAUAUAAGAAUUUUGCAAUUCAAUAACAGAUGUAAGCUCAUUGGUAAAUUUUCAUUGAGUGUGUGUAGAAAAUUGAGAAAAACGAAAACAAAAUCAUUCUUUUUAAGAGACUCUUUCUAGAAACGUUUUACAUUUUUUUAAGUAUUAACGUGCAUAUUUUGAUAUAUGCAUUCUUAUUUUAUAUGAUAAACUCGAAGAAAAGUGGCUCAAUUGUUUGGUAACUUUUGAUAAGAAUCAUAAACAUUUACAUAUGUUUAAUCAUAAGAUUUUACAAAAGAUCGUCAUUUUAUGAGUACAAUUGAUGGAGACCGGAAACCAUAAAGAGUUUUCCUGCAAAGAUAUUCAAAAUUUUUGGGAAAUCAAAACAAAAAUAAAAAAAAGAG